UUAAGCGACUAAGCGUACACGGUGGAUGCCCUGGCAGUCAGAGGCGAUGAAGGACGUGCUAAUCUGCGAAAAGCGUCGGUAAGGUGAUAUGAACCGUUAUAACCGGCGAUGUCCGAAUGGGGAAACCCAGUGCAAUUCGUUGCACUAUCGUUAACUGAAUACAUAGGUUAACGAGGCGAACCGGGGGAACUGAAACAUCUAAGUACCCCGAGGAAAAGAAAUCAACCGAGAUUCCCCCAGUAGCGGCGAGCGAACGGGGAGCAGCCCAGAGUCUGAAUCAGCUUGUGUGUUAGUGGAACGGUCUGGAAAGUCCGACGGUACAGGGUGAUAGUCCCGUACACCAAAAUGCACAGGUUGUGAACUCGAAGAGUAGGGCGGGACACGUGGUAUCCUGUCUGAAUAUGGGGGGACCAUCCUCCAAGGCUAAAUACUCCUGACUGACCGAUAGUGAACCAGUACCGUGAGGGAAAGGCGAAAAGAACCCCGGCGAGGGGAGUGAAAAAGAACCUGAAACCGUGUACGUACAAGCAGUGGGAGCACCUUCGGGUGUGACUGCGUACCUUUUGUAUAAUGGGUCAGCGACUUAUAUUCUGUAGCAAGGUUAACCGUAUAGGGGAGCCGCAGGGAAACCGAGUCUUAACUGGGCGUUAAGUUGCAGGGUAUAGACCCGAAACCCGGUGAUCUAGCCAUGGGCAGGUUGAAGGUUGGGUAACACUAACUGGAGGACCGAACCGACUAAUGUUGAAAAAUUAGCGGAUGACUUGUGGCUGGGGGUGAAAGGCCAAUCAAACCGGGAGAUAGCUGGUUCUCCCCGAAAGCUAUUUAGGUAGCGCCUCGUGAACUCAUCUUCGGGGGUAGAGCACUGUUUCGGCUAGGGGGUCAUCCCGACUUACCAACCCGAUGCAAACUACGAAUACCGAAGAAUGUUAUCACGGGAGACACACGGCGGGUGCUAACGUCCGUCGUGAAGAGGGAAACAACCCAGACCGCCAGCUAAGGUCCCAAAGUCAUGGUUAAGUGGGAAACGAUGUGGGAAGGCACAGACAGCCAGGAUGUUGGCUUAGAAGCAGCCAUCAUUUAAAGAAAGCGUAAUAGCUCACUGGUCGAGUCGGCCUGCGCGGAAGAUGUAACGGGGCUAAACCAUGCACCGAAGCUGCGGCAGCGACACUAUGUGUUGUUGGGUAGGGGAGCGUUCUGUAAGCCUGCGAAGGUGUGCUGUGAGGCAUGCUGGAGGUAUCAGAAGUGCGAAUGCUGACAUAAGUAACGAUAAAGCGGGUGAAAAGCCCGCUCGCCGGAAGACCAAGGGUUCCUGUCCAACGUUAAUCGGGGCAGGGUGAGUCGACCCCUAAGGCGAGGCCGAAAGGCGUAGUCGAUGGGAAACAGGUUAAUAUUCCUGUACUUGGUGUUACUGCGAAGGGGGGACGGAGAAGGCUAUGUUAGCCGGGCGACGGUUGUCCCGGUUUAAGCAUGUAGGCUGGUUGUCCAGGCAAAUCCGGAUAAUCAAGGCUGAGGUGUGAUGACGAGGCACUACGGUGCUGAAGUAACAAAUGCCCUGCUUCCAGGAAAAGCCUCUAAGCAUCAGGUAACAUUAAAUCGUACCCCAAACCGACACAGGUGGUCAGGUAGAGAAUACCAAGGCGCUUGAGAGAACUCGGGUGAAGGAACUAGGCAAAAUGGUGCCGUAACUUCGGGAGAAGGCACGCUGGUGUGUAGGUGAAGUCCCUGCGGAUGGAGCUGAGACCAGUCGAAGAUACCAGCUGGCUGCAACUGUUUAUUAAAAACACAGCACUGUGCAAACACGAAAGUGGACGUAUACGGUGUGACGCCUGCCCGGUGCCGGAAGGUUAAUUGAUGGGGUUAUCCGUAAGGAGAAGCUCUUGAUCGAAGCCCCGGUAAACGGCGGCCGUAACUAUAACGGUCCUAAGGUAGCGAAAUUCCUUGUCGGGUAAGUUCCGACCUGCACGAAUGGCGUAAUGAUGGCCAGGCUGUCUCCACCCGAGACUCAGUGAAAUUGAACUCGCUGUGAAGAUGCAGUGUACCCGCGGCAAGACGGAAAGACCCCGUGAACCUUUACUAUAGCUUGACACUGAACAUUGAGCCUUGAUGUGUAGGAUAGGUGGGAGGCUUUGAAGCGUGGACGCCAGUCUGCGUGGAGCCAACCUUGAAAUACCACCCUUUAAUGUUUGAUGUUCUAACGUUGGCCCCUGACCGGGGUUGCGGACAGUGUCUGGUGGGUAGUUUGACUGGGGCGGUCUCCUCCCAAAGCGUAACGGAGGAGCACGAAGGUUAGCUAAUCCUGGUCGGACAUCAGGAGGUUAGUGCAAUGGCAUAAGCUAGCUUGACUGCGAGCGUGACGGCGCGAGCAGGUGCGAAAGCAGGUCAUAGUGAUCCGGUGGUUCUGAAUGGAAGGGCCAUCGCUCAACGGAUAAAAGGUACUCCGGGGAUAACAGGCUGAUACCGCCCAAGAGUUCAUAUCGACGGCGGUGUUUGGCACCUCGAUGUCGGCUCAUCACAUCCUGGGGCUGAAGUAGGUCCCAAGGGUAUGGCUGUUCGCCAUUUAAAGUGGUACGCGAGCUGGGUUUAGAACGUCGUGAGACAGUUCGGUCCCUAUCUGCCGUGGGCGCUGGAGAAUUGAGGGGGGCUGCUCCUAGUACGAGAGGACCGGAGUGGACGCAUCACUGGUGUUCGGGUUGUCAUGCCAAUGGCACUGCCCGGUAGCUAAAUGCGGAAGAGAUAAGUGCUGAAAGCAUCUAAGCACGAAACUUGCCCCGAGAUGAGUUCUCCCUGAGACUUUAAGUCUCCUGAAGGAACGUUGAAGACGACGACGUUGAUAGGCCGGGUGUGUAAGCGCAGCGAUGCGUUGAGCUAACCGGUACUAAUGAACCGUGAGGCUUAACCU
This 2899-nucleotide ribosomal RNA is filed under the name Klebsiella pneumoniae. RNAcentral describes it as "23S ribosomal RNA". It matches the Rfam family "Bacterial large subunit ribosomal RNA". Lineage: Bacteria; Pseudomonadati; Pseudomonadota; Gammaproteobacteria; Enterobacterales; Enterobacteriaceae. The record is from RNAcentral.